RNAcentral lists this ribosomal RNA (684 nucleotides) under uncultured bacterium. RNAcentral's name for it is "bacterial SSU rRNA". It matches the Rfam family "Bacterial small subunit ribosomal RNA", at positions 102 to 807 of the family's 1533-position model. The record is from RNAcentral.
ACGGGUGAGUAAUGUAUAGCUAAUCUGCCCUACACUAGAGGACAACAGUUGGAAACGACUGCUAAUACUCUAUACUCCUGUCUUACAUAAGUUAGAUAGGGAAAGUUUUUCGGGGUAUGAUGAGGCUAUAUUGUAUCAGCUAGUUGGUGAGGUAAUGGCUCACCAAGGCUAUGACGCAUAACUGGUCUGAGAGGAUGAUCAGUCACACUGGAACUGAUACACGGUCCAGACUCCUACGGGAGGCAGCAGUAGGGAAUAUUGCUCAAUGGGGGAAACCCUGAAACACCAACGCCGCGUGGAGGAUGACACUUUUCGGAGCGUAAACUCCUUUUGUUAGGGAAGAACAAUGACGGUACCUAACGAAUAAGCACCGGCUAACUCCGUGCCAGCAGCCGCGGUAAUACGGAGGGUGCAAGCGUUACUCGGAAUCACUGGGCGUAAAGGACGCGUACGCGGAUUAUCAAGUCUCUUGUGAAAUCCUAUGGCUUAACCAUAGAACUGCUUGGGAAACUGGUAAUCUACAGUGAGGGAGAGGCAGAUGGAAUUGGUGGUGUAGGGGUAAAAUCCGUAGAGAUCACCAGGAAUACCCAUUGCCAAGGCGAUCUGCUGGAACUCAGCUGACGCUAAUGCCUGAAAGCGUGGCGAGUAAACAGGAUGCUAUACCCUGUGAGUCCCGACCUGAAC